This 433-nucleotide ribosomal RNA is filed under the name uncultured bacterium. RNAcentral describes it as "partial 16S ribosomal RNA". It matches the Rfam family "Bacterial small subunit ribosomal RNA", at positions 29 to 507 of the family's 1533-position model. The record is from RNAcentral.
AACGAACGCUGGCGGCAUGCCUAACACAUGCAAGUCGAACGAAGGCUUCGGCCUUAGUGGCGCACGGGUGCGUAACGCGUGGGAAUCUGCCCUUUGGUUCGGAAUAACAGCUGGAAACGGCUGCUAAUACCGGAUGAUGACGAAAGUCCAAAGAUUUAUCGCCAGAGGAUGAGCCCGCGUUGGAGUAGGUAGUUGGUGGGGUAAAGGCCUACCAAGCCGACGAUCCAUAGCUGGUCUGAGAGGAUGAUCAGCCACACUGGGACUGAGACACGGCCCAGACUCCUACGGGAGGCAGCAGUGGGGAAUAUUGGACAAUGGCCGCAAGCCUGAUCCAGCAAUGCCGCGUGAGUGAUGAAGGCCGUAGAGUUGUAAAGCUCUUUUACCCGGGAAGAUAAUGACUGUACCGAAAGAAUAAGCCCCGGCUAACUCCGUG